CCCUUAGAUGUCCUGGGCUGCACGCGCGCUACACUGAAAGUUACGGAUUGACUUUUUACCUUGUCCGAAAUGGUCCGGGUAAUCACCUAAAAGCUUGUCAUAAUUGGAAUGGAUUAUUGUAACUAGUAAUCCUGAACGAGGAAUUCCUAGUAAGUCCCAGUCAACAGCUGGUACUGAUUACGUCCCUGCCCUUUGUACACACCGCCCGUCGCUACUACCGAUUGAAUGGUUUAGUGAGGCCUUCGGAUCCGCGACUCGUUUGUGGAGAAGUUGGACAAACUCAGUCAUUUAGAGGAAGUAAAAGUCGUAACA
This 312-nucleotide ribosomal RNA is filed under the name uncultured eukaryote. RNAcentral's name for it is "partial 18S ribosomal RNA". It matches the Rfam family "Eukaryotic small subunit ribosomal RNA", at positions 1470 to 1796 of the family's 1831-position model. The record is from RNAcentral.